UACGAAGGGUGCAAGCGUUACUCGGAAUUACUGGGCGUAAAGCGUGCGUAGGUGGUUCGUUAAGUCUGUCGUGAAAGCCCCGGGCUCAACCUGGGAAUGGCGAUGGAUACUGGCGGGCUAGAGUGCGGUAGAGGAGAGUGGAAUUCCACGUGUAGCAGUGAAAUGCGUAGAUAUCUGGAGGAACACCGGUGGCGAAGGCGCGAUUCUGGUCCGUUAC
RNAcentral lists this ribosomal RNA (217 nucleotides) under uncultured prokaryote. RNAcentral's name for it is "partial 16S ribosomal RNA". It matches the Rfam family "Bacterial small subunit ribosomal RNA", at positions 524 to 740 of the family's 1533-position model. The record is from RNAcentral.